RNAcentral lists this ribosomal RNA (117 nucleotides) under Olea europaea subsp. europaea. Lineage: Eukaryota; Viridiplantae; Streptophyta; Magnoliopsida; Lamiales; Oleaceae. The record is from RNAcentral.
AGAACAGACUGCCACGUUGAAUACACCAGUUCUCGUCCGAUCACUAAAGUUAAGCGACGUUGGGUGUGGUCGGUUCUUGGAUGGGAGACCGUCUGGGAGUUGUUGGUUUCGGGGUUU